Molecule: long non-coding RNA, 248 nt
Filed under: Carica papaya (papaya)
Lineage: Eukaryota; Viridiplantae; Streptophyta; Magnoliopsida; Brassicales; Caricaceae
Description: long non-coding RNA (CPAP_LNC008206)
Source: RNAcentral
UCUAUGGCUUGCUAAACUAUAACACAUUUACGACUUGCCAAACUAUGACAGGUUCUAUAACCACGACCGUGCUAACCACAAUAGUCCUGUAUGUAAAUUAUAUUCACGGCCGUACAUUGCCACAAUGACCCCUACAAUCAUAUCGCGUAAUCACUCUCAUUAGAGAGUACGUUGUCAUCCACAAGGAGCGGUCAUCUCACGUCUUUUCAGACCAAAUGAGGGAGAAACAGAAUCUCUUCAGAGAUAAA